This 29-nucleotide non-coding RNA is filed under the name Rattus norvegicus (Norway rat). Lineage: Eukaryota; Metazoa; Chordata; Mammalia; Rodentia; Muridae. The record is from RNAcentral.
UCCAAGUGGAACAGAUAUAGGGCCCUUCU